Molecule: ribosomal RNA, 616 nt
Filed under: Ravinia sp. ESW-2015a
Lineage: Eukaryota; Metazoa; Arthropoda; Insecta; Diptera; Sarcophagidae
Description: eukaryotic LSU rRNA
Rfam family: Eukaryotic large subunit ribosomal RNA
Source: RNAcentral
GUUAUUGGGUAUCAAAACCUAAUAGCGAAAUUAACAUAACUUUUAUGGGAUUAGUUUUUAGAUUAUUUAUAGUCUAUUAAUUCAAUCCCGGGGCGUUCUAUAUAGUUAUGUAUAAUAAUAUUUAUAUUAUUUAUACCUCUAACUAGAGCGUACCUUGAGCAUAUAUGCUGUGACCCGAAAGAUGGUGAACUAUACUUGAUCAGGUUGAAGUCAGGGGAAACCCUGAUGGAAGACCGAAACAGUUCUGACGUGCAAAUCGAUUGUCAGAAUUGAGUAUAGGGGCGAAAGACCAAUCGAACCAUCUAGUAGCUGGUUCCCUCCGAAGUUUCCCUCAGGAUAGCUGGUGCAUUUAAAUAUUAUGUAAAAUAAUCUUAUCUGGUAAAGCGAAUGAUUAGAGGCCUUAGGGUCGAAACGACCUUAACCUAUUCUCAAACUUUAAAUGGGUAAGAACCUCACCUUUCUUGGUAUGAAGGUUGUGGUUGUGAUAUAAUGUGCCCAGUGGGCCACUUUUGGUAAGCAGAACUGGCGCUGUGGGAUGAACCAAACGUAAUGUUACGGUGCCCAAAUUAACAACUCAUGCAGAUACCAUGAAAGGCGUUGGUUGCUUAAAACAGCA